This is an unclassified non-coding RNA of Macaca fascicularis (crab-eating macaque), 148 nucleotides long. It matches the Rfam family "Metazoan signal recognition particle RNA". From Rfam's summary of the family: The signal recognition particle (SRP) is a universally conserved ribonucleoprotein. It is involved in the co-translational targeting of proteins to membranes. Lineage: Eukaryota; Metazoa; Chordata; Mammalia; Primates; Cercopithecidae. The record is from Ensembl.
GCUGGGCGUGGUGGCGCGUGCCUGUGGUCCCAGCUACUUGGGAGGCUGAGGCAGGAGAAUCGCUUGAACCCAGGAGGCGGAGGUUGCAGUGAGCUGAGAUGGCACCACUGCACUCCAGCCUGGGUGACAGAGCGAGACUCCGUCUCAA